Mauremys mutica (yellowpond turtle) is the source of this 918-nucleotide long non-coding RNA. RefSeq lists it as uncharacterized. The record is from RefSeq and is a predicted model, not a curated record. NCBI's taxonomy places the organism in Eukaryota, Metazoa, Chordata, Testudines, Geoemydidae. The transcript has 3 exons.
CAGGCGCCCUGGCCUGCCGCAGCCCACAAUCUCAGGGAGUGGGGCAGUCUGCCCCACUACACAUGGCCACUAUGUCUACUGCUCCAUGAAGGCAUUGGCUGGUUGUAACAUCCGUUGAUGAUUUGUUUGGAGAAUUGAAGAAGAUUAAACCACAAGAGGAAACCGGACAUGGAUUCCAAACUGGACCAUUAUUUCUGCAGCUGAGUGGUAGCUUGUGUGAAGAGUCUACCCAGGAAGGGGAGAGAUGUUGAAGUGACCUGGCUGAAAGGCCAAGUCACAGGAAGCAGCAGGCCAUGGCAGAGGUGGAGCAGCAAGUGACAGGAUACCCCAGCAGACAGAGAGCUGCCAUGUCAUGCCUGGCCAUGAGGAGGUGCUACUGGUGAGCCGAACCCUUCAAAAGAACAUGUAAUUGUGCUCCAGUGGCAAGCCUCACUUAUUAUGACAACCUGCUUUCUCACAGCGGAAGGAGUUUGCCUCCAAAAGUAGAGGCCUGUGCAUUUUGUGCUAAAAGUCCUGAGUUCAGGCAUCACUAAUAACCUGUAUGUGCAUGGUCAUGGUUCAUUAUAUGUGAAGUACAGGGGAAAAAGGGAGAUGUCCAAUAGAAAUACACACCUACUUCUCUUUAAUCCACCAAUCAAAUCAAAUCGCAUGACUCAUCGUAGAAACACCUCAACAAAUAACAUGUGUAUGAUGAACUAACCAAUCACCUUCUGGUGGUGCAUAUACACAGCCCUCUUCCAUUGCAACACAAAUGACAUCAUGCUGCCGCACAAAGAAAAGUUUGAGAAAUAUUCUUCUGAAAAAACAAGCCUAGCAAAUUCAUUUGUGAUGGAUUAAAAAACACAUGAAAUAAAAAAAAAAUCACAAAAUAAAAUAAGUGAUAUAAGUCAAAUCUCUAUUUGAAAAAACAAAACCUGA